RNAcentral lists this RNase P RNA (324 nucleotides) under Flavobacterium frigoris. RNAcentral describes it as "Bacterial RNase P class A". It matches the Rfam family "Bacterial RNase P class A". Rfam says of the family: Ribonuclease P (RNase P) is a ubiquitous endoribonuclease, found in archaea, bacteria and eukarya as well as chloroplasts and mitochondria. Its best characterised activity is the generation of mature 5'-ends of tRNAs by cleaving the 5'-leader elements of precursor-tRNAs. Lineage: Bacteria; Pseudomonadati; Bacteroidota; Flavobacteriia; Flavobacteriales; Flavobacteriaceae. The record is from RNAcentral.
ACAGACCGCCUUAUCGUCGUCUCGUCUUUUGGGACGAGAGGGAGGAAAGUCCGGACACCUUAGAGAAGCAUAGCGGGUAACCCCCGUCGGUUUUGUCUGAAAAGGCGAGAUUAGGACAAGUGCAACAGAAAGUAUGUACAGGUAAUGCUGUAGUGAAACCAGGUAAACUCUAUGCGGUGAAAUAUCAAGUAUAUCAGCAUUUAAGGGCUUCUCGUCCGUUGUUGAAGGGUAGAUAGCUUGAGUCAUACAGUAAUGUAUGAUCUAGAUAAAUGAUAAGGGUCUCGAUUUAUCGGGAUACAGAAUCCGGCUUAUAGGUCUGUUUUU